Molecule: ribosomal RNA, 513 nt
Filed under: uncultured Planctomycetota bacterium
Lineage: Bacteria; Pseudomonadati; Planctomycetota
Description: bacterial SSU rRNA
Rfam family: Bacterial small subunit ribosomal RNA
Source: RNAcentral
UCGAGGAUCUUCGGCAAUGGGCGCAAGCCUGACCGAGCGACGCCGCGUGCGGGAUGAAGGCCUUCGGGUUGUAAACCGCUUUUAGUGGGGAGGAAGGCCCUGUGCAGAGCAGGGUUUGACCUAUCCGCAGAAUAAGUGUGGGCUAAGUUCGUGCCAGCAGCCGCGGUAAGACGAACCACACGAACGUUAUUCGGAAUUACUGGGCUUAAAGGGUGCGUAGGCUGUGCAGAAAGUUAGGUGUGAAAUCCCCCGGCUCAACCGGGGAAUUGCGCUUAAAACUACUGUGCUAGAGGAAUACAGAGGUGAGCGGAACUUCGGGUGGAGCGGUGAAAUGCGUUGAUAUCCGAAGGAACACCGGUGGCGAAAGCGGCUCACUGGGUAUUUCUGACGCUGAUGCACGAAAGCUAGGGGAGCAAACGGGAUUAGAUACCCCGGUAGUCCUAGCCGUAAACGAUGAGCACUGGGUUGAAGGGUCCUCCGAUAGCCUUUCAGCCGCAGCGAAAGUGUUAAGUG